RNAcentral lists this non-coding RNA (157 nucleotides) under Bacillus sp. (in: firmicutes). RNAcentral's name for it is "Bacillus sp. SAM-I sequence". It matches the Rfam family "SAM riboswitch aptamer (S box leader)". Rfam says of the family: The SAM riboswitch is found upstream of a number of genes which code for proteins involved in methionine or cysteine biosynthesis in Gram-positive bacteria. The SAM riboswitch acts at the level of transcription termination control. The predicted structure consists of a complex stem-loop region followed by a single stem loop terminator region. The record is from RNAcentral. Lineage: Bacteria; Bacillati; Bacillota; Bacilli; Caryophanales; Bacillaceae.
CUCUUAUCGAGAGUUGGGCGAGGGAUUGGCCUUUUGACCCCAACAGCAACCGACCGUAAUACCAUUGUGAGAUGGGGCGCGUGAUAUUUGCGCCGAGACAAAAUUGUCUCUUAAGGCACGGUGCUAAUUCCAUCAGACGUGAUCUGAGAGAUAAGAG